GAACGCUGGCGGCGUGCUUAACACAUGCAAGUCGAACGAUGAUGCUUCCAGCUUGCUGGGAGCGGAUUAGUGGCGAACGGGUGAGUAUCACGUGAGCAACCUGCCCUUGACUUCGGGAUAAGCCCGGGAAACUGGGUCUAAUACCGGAUAUGACCAUCGCCCGCAUGGGUGGUGGUGGAAAGCUUUAUGCGGUCUUGGAUGGGCUCGCGGCCUAUCAGCUAGACGGUGAGGUAGUGGCUCACCGUGGCUUUGACGGGUAGCCGGCCUGAGAGGGUGACCGGCCACACUGGGACUGAGACACGGCCCAGACUCCUACGGGAGGCAGCAGUGGGGAAUAUUGCACAAUGGGCGAAAGCCUGAUGCAGCGACGCCGCGUGCGGGAUGACGGCCUUCGGGUUGUAAACCGCUUUCAGCAGGGAAGAAGCUUUUUGUGACGGUACCUGCAGAAGAAGCGCCGGCUAACUCCGUGCCAGCACCCGCGGUAAUACGUAGGGGGCGAGCGUUAUCCGGAAUUAUUGGGCGUAAAGAGCUCGUAGGCGGUUUGCCGCGUCUGCCGUGAAAAAUCCGGGCUUAACCCGGAUCGUGCGGUGGGUACGGGCAGACUAGAGUGCAGUAGGGGAGACCGGAAUUCCUGGUGUAGCGGUGAAAUGCGCAGAUAUCAGGAGGAACACCGAUGGCGAAGGCAGGUCUCUGGGCUGUUACUGACGCUGAGGAGCGAAAGCAUGGGGAGCGAACAGGAUUAGAUACCCUGGUAGUCCAUGCCGUAAACGUUGGGCACUAGGUGUGGGGAACAUUCCACGUUUUCCGCGCCGUAGCUAACGCAUUAAGUGCCCCGCCUGGGGAGUACGCCGCAAGGCUAAAACUCAAAGGAAUUGACGGGGGCCCGCACAAGCGGCGGAGCAUGCGGAUUAAUUCGAUGCAACGCGAAGAACCUUACCAAGGCUUGACAUGGACCGGAUCGCCAUAGAGAUAUGGUUUCCCUUCGGGGCUGGUUCACAGGUGGUGCAUGGUUGUCGUCAGCUCGUGUCGUGAGAUGUUGGGUUAAGUCCCGCAACGAGCGCAACCCUUGUCCUAUGUUGCCAGCGGGUAGUGCCGGGGACUCAUGGGAGACUGCCGGGGUCAACUCGGAGGAAGGUGGGGACGACGUCAAAUCAUCAUCCCCCUUAUGUCUUGGGCUUCACGCAUGCUACAAUGGCCGGUACAGUGGGUUUCGAUUCCGCGAGGUGGAGCUAAUCCCUAAAAACCGGUCUCAGUUCGGAUCGGAGUCUGCAACUCGACUCCGUGAAGUUGGAGUCGCUAGUAAUCGCAGAUCAACAAUGCUCCGGUGAAUACGUUCCCGGGCCUUGUACACACCGCCCGUCAAGUCACGAAAGUUGGUAACAGCCGAAGCCCACGGUCUAACCCUUGUGGGGGAAGUGGUCGAAGGUGGGACCGGCGAUUGGGACUAAGUCGUAACAAGGUAUCC
This 1465-nucleotide ribosomal RNA is filed under the name bacterium WB3. RNAcentral's name for it is "16S ribosomal RNA". It matches the Rfam family "Bacterial small subunit ribosomal RNA". The record is from RNAcentral. Lineage: Bacteria; Bacillati; Actinomycetota; Actinomycetes.